This 1309-nucleotide long non-coding RNA is filed under the name Marmota monax (woodchuck). Lineage: Eukaryota; Metazoa; Chordata; Mammalia; Rodentia; Sciuridae. The record is from RNAcentral.
GCUGUGUACCUGUGCUCACUGCCCCUGGCUGAGUUGCAUGCCAUGCCCUCACUUGCCCACCACACUUGGUUGAGCUGUGUGCCUGUUCCUUUGUAUGUCACCACCCCUGGCUAAGCUGUACUCCCCUCACCCCUGGCUCUGAGGGUGCGCCAGUCUGGUGCAGGCUAGGCAAGUGCUUUAUUAUUGAGCCACACCCUCAGCCCUGAGCUGUGUAUCUGUGCAUAUUGCCCCUGGUUGAGCUGUGUACCCAUGUCCUCAUGGGCCCACCAUCCUGUGCCACAGGUGGGAGGAAUUUCUGUAGCUAAGCUAUUAGAGGAAAGCUUUUGAGAAAUCAGUUUGCCUUUGAAGAAAAGAAUUUGGUAGUUUUUUCCCCCAGUGGCUGAUAGGAAGCUUAGUCAAAUCUGUAACCCCUCCCCAAUGAGGACGUGACUUCACAGUGGGAUUGUGGAUGCUCUCCUCCCUCCUUUGGCCCUUUUUGGGUCUAGGAGGGACAGCCACUGAUCUCAUAUGGUAGGUAGGCUUCUGAUUUUUAGUGCAGGACACUUGAGGUGGUCUCGGUUCAAGAUUUGAUCAUCGAGGACUUAACAUCAGAUCGUUUCCUUGGAUCACUAAAUUAGCUGUCACUUUUAUGUAUUGUUUUAGUUGUAGGUGGACCCUAUACCCUUAUUUCUAUGUGGUGCUGAGAAUCGAACCCAGUGCCCCACGUGUGCCAGGCAAGUGCUCUACCACUGAGCCACAACCCCAGCCCAUGUCAGCUUUUUGUCCUUGGCUUUUAGAAAGCAUUCUGCCCGGGCGAGGUGGCACACACCUUUAAUCUCAGUGUCUGUCUGUGCUGGAAGGCUGAGGCAGGAGUGCAAGUUCAAAGCCAGCCUUAGCAAUUAGCAAGGUAGGCCCUAAGCAACUUAGUGGGACCCUGUCUAAAGGGCAGGGGAUAUGGCUCAGUGGUUAACUGUCCCUGGGUUCAACCCCUGGUACAAAAAGUGUUCUGAGCUUCCUGACUCACAAUCAAGAUGUUGUACCACAGGUGGGAGGAAUUUCUGUGGCUAAGCCAUUAGGAAAAGGAACGCUCCAUCCACAUGACCAUGUCCUGUGGGGAUUCAUUGGUACAGCGCUUUCACACACUUUCUUGUCCUCCCACACAGCCUGCCUGGGCAUGUAAGCCCUGUGCCCAGGGGCAGGGACCUGGGGGAGGCCCAGAAUCUGAGCAGCCCUGCUUUACACUCUCCACUGAAUCACACUGUCCUUUCGCCCAAUAGAUUUAGUGAUUUUGCACUGGUCACCCCUCAGCCUUCCCUCUGGAGCAUGCUUC